This 402-nucleotide long non-coding RNA is filed under the name Ananas comosus (pineapple). Its description in RNAcentral is "long non-coding RNA (ACOM_LNC029855)". The record is from RNAcentral. Lineage: Eukaryota; Viridiplantae; Streptophyta; Magnoliopsida; Poales; Bromeliaceae.
AAAAAAAAAACCUUCAAAUACCAUGCACUUUUUCACUUUAGUACCAUGUGGUUUAAAGUGCAUCAAUUCAGUACCCUGUAGUUUCGCACUUUCUCACUUUAGUACCUUAUAGUUUAAAGCGCAUCAAUUUAGUACUCUAUGGUUUCAUUUUUUUCUUUUCGUCGGCUCCUCUGUCAAUAUUUUAUUAAAUUAUAUACAUAAAACUUCAGAUACCCUACCUAGGUUUAUUGAACAUUUACUUUAGUACCCUUUAGUUUUAACUUUGUCACUGAUUUUUUUUUACUCUGUUAAUAUUUCGUUAAAUUAUAUACAAAAAAUUUUAGAUACCUUAUCUAAGCUUAUCGAAUAUUGACUUUAGUACCCUUUAAUUUUAACUUUGUCACUGAUUUAACAAAAAAAUUA